This 478-nucleotide unclassified non-coding RNA is filed under the name Hevea brasiliensis (rubber tree). The record is from RNAcentral. Lineage: Eukaryota; Viridiplantae; Streptophyta; Magnoliopsida; Malpighiales; Euphorbiaceae.
AAAAGGUUGCAAAAUUUGAAGGAUCUAGCUAUUAAAUUGAAUGUGGAUGAUCAUGUUGAGUUCCACAAGAAUGUAUUGUACAGUGAUUUGGUCAGGCUUCUGGGUGGUGCUGUAGCCGGAAUCCAUUCCAUGACAGAUGAGCACUUCGGCAUAAGUGUAGUGGAAUACAUGGCUGCUGGUGCUAUACCAAUUGCGCAUAAUUCAGCUGGUCCAAGGAUGGAUAUUGUGUUACCAGAAGAUGGAAAGCAGACUGGAUUUCUUGCCGAGAGUGUAGAGGAAUUUGCUGAAGCUAUCAUUGAAGUCAUUAAGAUGCCAGAGAAUGAGAGGUUGGAGAUGGCUGCUGCAGCAAGGAAACGAGCCUCCAUGUUCUCAGAGCAAAGGUUUUAUGAAGAUUUUAAGGCUGCUGUACGACCAAUCUUUUACAAUGAUAGUAAAUGAUUACAAAAAUCUUUUAUUUUCAUAAAUUCAAGAGAUCAAU